CCUACGGGAGGCUGCAGUGGGGAAUAUUGCACAAUGGGGGAAACCCUGAUGCAGCGACGCCGCGUGAGUGAAGAAGUAAUUCGUUAUGUAAAACUCUAUCAGCAGGGAAGAAAAUGACGGUACCUGCGUAAGAAGCCCCGGCUAACUACGUGCCAGCAGCCGCGGUAAUACGUAGGGUGCAAGCGUUAUCCGGAUUUACUGGGUGUAAAGGGAGCGUAGACGGCAGUGCAAGUCUGGAGUGAAAGGCAGGGGCUCAACCCCCGUACUGCUCUGGAUACUGUACGGCUGGAGUGCAGGAGAGGUAAGUGGAAUUCCUGGUGUAGCGGUGAAGUGCGUAGAUAUUAGGAGGAACACCAGUGGCGAAGGCGGCUUACUGGGCUGUAACUGACGUUGAGGCUCGAAAGCGAGGGGAGCAAACAGGAUUAGAUACCCCAGUAGUC
RNAcentral lists this ribosomal RNA (440 nucleotides) under uncultured bacterium. Its description in RNAcentral is "partial 16S ribosomal RNA". It matches the Rfam family "Bacterial small subunit ribosomal RNA", at positions 338 to 795 of the family's 1533-position model. The record is from RNAcentral.